UGAAAUCUUGGGCAGUGGAGCAGGGAGUGUUCUGGCGUGUGUGGGGCGCCAUGUGGGUCCUGGACAGUCUGUGGCGUGUGUGGCCAACCCUCAGGCGGGUGACGGCUGUGUCGGCCAGGACAGCGUGGAGGGAUGCUACUCUGUGGAAGGUGGUAACUGUCUUGUCUGGCGAGGGAAGGCCCCGCCAGUACUCUGUGGAAGGCGGUAACUGUCUUGUCUGGCGAGGGAAGGCCCCGCCAGUACUCUGUGGAAGGUGGUAACUGUCUUGUCUGGCGAGGGAAGGCCCCGCCAGUACUCUGUGGAAGGCGGUAACUGUCUUGUCUGGCGAGGGAAGGCCCCGCCAGUACUCUGUGGAAGGUGGUAACUGUCUUGUCUGGCGAGGGAAGGCCCCGCCAGUACUCUGUGGAAGGCGGUAACUGUCUUGUCUGGCGAGGGAAGGCCCCGCCAGUACUCUGUGGAAGGUGGUAACUGUCUUGUCUGGCGAGGGAAGGCCCCGCCAGUAGACAAAAACGCUCCUUCUUGAGCCGGAAGCCGCGUC
Molecule: long non-coding RNA, 538 nt
Organism: Eriocheir sinensis (Chinese mitten crab)
Lineage: Eukaryota; Metazoa; Arthropoda; Malacostraca; Decapoda; Varunidae
Exons: 3
Source: RefSeq, a predicted model, not a curated record